This 73-nucleotide transfer RNA is filed under the name Canis lupus familiaris (dog). It matches the Rfam family "tRNA". Rfam says of the family: Transfer RNA (tRNA) molecules are approximately 80 nucleotides in length. The record is from Rfam by way of RNAcentral. Lineage: Eukaryota; Metazoa; Chordata; Mammalia; Carnivora; Canidae. RNAcentral also lists the same sequence under 2 other names.
GCGUGGCUGGCUCAGUCUAUAGAGCAUGCGACUCUUGAUCUCAGGGUCAUGAGUUCAAGCCCCAUGUUGGGCA